GCUGGCUUGGCCGAGUGGUUAAGGCGAUGGUUUUAAGUCUAAAACGCUUAGAUCACCAUUAUCUCUACGAUGCGCAGGUUCGAACCCUGCAGCCAGCA
Transfer RNA from Ceratocystis platani, 98 nucleotides. It matches the Rfam family "tRNA". From Rfam's summary of the family: Transfer RNA (tRNA) molecules are approximately 80 nucleotides in length. Their secondary structure includes four short double-helical elements and three loops (D, anti-codon, and T loops). The record is from Rfam. NCBI's taxonomy places the organism in Eukaryota, Fungi, Ascomycota, Sordariomycetes, Microascales, Ceratocystidaceae.